GACGAACGCUGGCGGCGUGCUUAACACAUGCAAGUCGAACGGAAAGGCCCUGAUUUUGUGGGGUGCUCGAGUGGCGAAGGGGUGAGUAUCACGUGAGUAACCUGCCCUUGACUUUGGGAUAACUUCAGGAAACUGGGGUUAAUAUCGGAUAGGAGCUCCUGUUGCAUGGUGGGGAUUGGAUAGUUUCGGCGGUUGGGGAUGGAUUCGCGGCUUAUCGGCUUGUUGGUGGGGUAGUGGCAUGCCAAGGUGUUGACGGGUAGCCGGCCUGCGUGCGUGAACAGCCACAUUGGUACUGAGAUACGGCCCAGACGCCUACGGUAGGCAGCAGGGGGGAAUAUGGCACAAUGGGCGGAAGCCGGAUGCAGCAGCGCCGCGGUCGGGAUGACGGCCUGCGGGUUAUAAACCGCUUUCGCCUGUGACGAAGCGGUAGUGACGGUAAUGGGUAAAGAAGCACCGGCUAACUACGUG
RNAcentral lists this ribosomal RNA (468 nucleotides) under uncultured bacterium. RNAcentral describes it as "partial 16S ribosomal RNA". It matches the Rfam family "Bacterial small subunit ribosomal RNA", at positions 28 to 507 of the family's 1533-position model. The record is from RNAcentral.